Molecule: ribosomal RNA, 484 nt
Filed under: uncultured bacterium
Lineage: Bacteria
Description: partial 16S ribosomal RNA
Rfam family: Bacterial small subunit ribosomal RNA
Source: RNAcentral
AUUGAACGCUGGCGGCAUGCUUUACACAUGCAAGUCGAACGGCAGCGCGGGCUUCGGCCUGGCGGCGAGUGGCGAACGGAUGAGUAAUACAUCGGAACGUGCCCAGUAGUGGGGGAUAGCUCGGCGAAAGCCGGAUUAAUACCGCAUACGACCUGAGGGUGAAAGCGGGGGAUCUUCGGACCUCGCGCUGUUGGAGCGGCCGAUGGCAGAUUAGCUAGUUGGUGGGGUAAAGGCCUACCAAGGCGACGAUCUGUAGCUGGUCUGAGAGGACGACCAGCCACACUGGGACUGAGACACGGCCCAGACUCCUACGGGAGGCAGCAGUGGGGAAUUUUGGACAAUGGGCGAAAGCCUGAUCCAGCAAUGCCGCGUGUGUGAUGAAGGCCUUCGGGUUGUAAAGCACUUUUGGCGGGAACGAAAAGGACUGUGCCAAUACCACGGUUCGAUGACGGUACCCGCAGAAUAAGCACCGGCUAACUACGUG